RNAcentral lists this ribosomal RNA (540 nucleotides) under uncultured bacterium. Its description in RNAcentral is "partial 16S ribosomal RNA". It matches the Rfam family "Bacterial small subunit ribosomal RNA", at positions 28 to 523 of the family's 1533-position model. The record is from RNAcentral.
GAUGAACGCUGGCGGUGUGCCUAAUACAUGCAAGUCGUACGCAUUCUCGUUUCUGAUUGACGGUGCUUGCACCUAAUUGACGAGACAUUGGAAUGAGUGGCGGACGGGUGAGUAACACGUGGGUAACCUGCCCAGAAGCGGGGGAUAACAUUUGGAAACAGAUGCUAAUACCGCAUAAAAGUCAAAACCACAUGGUUUUGAUUUAAAAGAUGGCCUUUGUGCUAUCACUUCUGGAUGGACCCGCGGCGUAUUAGCUAGUUGGUAAGGUAACGGCUUACCAAGGCAAUGAUACGUAGCCGAACUGAGAGGUUGAUCGGCCACAAUGGGACUGAGACACGGCCCAUACUCCUACGGGAGGCAGCAGUAGGGAAUCUUCCACAAUGGGCGCAAGCCUGAUGGAGCAACACCGCGUGAGUGAAGAAGGGUUUCGGCUCGUAAAACUCUGUUGUUAAAGAAGAACGUAUCUAAGAGUAACUGCUUAGGUAGUGACGGUAUUUAACCAGAAAGCCACGGCUAACUACGUGCCAGCAGCCGCGGUAA